AGGUACAGUAGUAUGAGCCUAUAAUCCCAGCUACUCAGGAACCUGAGGCAGGAGGAUCUCUUGAGCUCAGGAUAUAGUGCACUAUGCUGACAGGAUGUCCUCACUAAUUUUGACAUCCAUAUGGUGACCUCCCAGGAACGGGGGACCACCAGGUUGCCUAAAGAGGGGUGAACCGGCCCAGGUCAGAAACGGAGCAGGUCAAAACUCCCAUGCUAAUCAGUAGAGGGAUCAUGCCUAUAAAUAGUCACUGCACUCCAGCCUUAGCAACAUAGCAAGACCUCAUCGCUU
Unclassified non-coding RNA from Macaca fascicularis (crab-eating macaque), 288 nucleotides. It matches the Rfam family "Metazoan signal recognition particle RNA". From Rfam's summary of the family: The signal recognition particle (SRP) is a universally conserved ribonucleoprotein. It is involved in the co-translational targeting of proteins to membranes. The record is from Ensembl. NCBI's taxonomy places the organism in Eukaryota, Metazoa, Chordata, Mammalia, Primates, Cercopithecidae.